GCCCCGAUGGUGUAGCCCGGAUAACACACGGCACUGCGGAUGCCGAGAUCGGGGGUUCAAAUCCCCCUCGGGGCG
This 75-nucleotide transfer RNA is filed under the name Methanocaldococcus vulcanius M7. Its description in RNAcentral is "tRNA-Arg (GCG) (tRNA-Arg-GCG-1-1)". It matches the Rfam family "tRNA". From Rfam's summary of the family: Transfer RNA (tRNA) molecules are approximately 80 nucleotides in length. Their secondary structure includes four short double-helical elements and three loops (D, anti-codon, and T loops). The record is from RNAcentral. Lineage: Archaea; Methanobacteriati; Methanobacteriota; Methanococci; Methanococcales; Methanocaldococcaceae.